Molecule: long non-coding RNA, 1150 nt
Organism: Musa acuminata AAA Group (dessert banana)
Lineage: Eukaryota; Viridiplantae; Streptophyta; Magnoliopsida; Zingiberales; Musaceae
Exons: 2
Source: RefSeq, a predicted model, not a curated record
UGGGCUCUCAGCAUCGAAGAGGAAGACGUGGGCUCUCAUGUCUCCACAGGUGCCAAGCCUACACUUGGAGACAUGGCUUGUCUGAUCCUGAGGUGCCUGCCAUGGGGUUUGGUGUUGGAGUAGGAGAGGCGAUCGUGUGGGUGGGCGGACGACGUGGUGCUCAGAUAACCAGAGGUUGGAGUUUCUUCGAUGACUCCAUGGUAUCUUCUCAGAAAUGAAAGCUAAUACCAUCUUGUCAUGGAGUGAGUGUUGAAAGCAGCACAGUUAGGACUGCUAAUGACAGACAGUGAAAGAUGCACACGUCUGCCGACUUAUAACUACAGUGAUAAUGUUGAGUCGAUGAGGAGUGUGGGGUGGAAGAACAUGUGGUGGUGAUUCAAGAAAACGACUUGAGAUCUGAAACGCUGUUGGUUUACAUAAUAAUUCACUCCAUUCCUUAGGAAAACAGAUAUAAUAUUCCUCUUUUUGUUGUUUUUGUUUAUGACUGGAGAAAGAGAAACCAGUAUCCAUUAGCUUGCACUCAAAAGUGGAGUCAUCCACCCAUCCAUCCAUCCACAAAGGAUUCCUCCCCUUUAAGGAGGCUGAUGAUAAAGGGGAAGAACGGAGACAGCUUCCAAUAUGAGCAGCAAAGUUAUUCCGAAAUAAAGUGGAAGAGGAGGAGGAGGACGAAGAGAAUUAAAGGGUGGAGAGAGGGUGAGAGAAUCCAAGCCACCGGCCGUCACUUCAUGGCCAACGUAUCUUCUGCGUCAGGUAGCCCGGAAAGCGGUAUAAAGCUAGCUGAAACCCUGCUGCUUAUUGCGCCAAGGAUUACGUGCAUGGCUUUGGUGAUGUGAGGUGGAGUGCUGCGUGCGUUUUGAGCUUUGGCGAGGGGAGUAGAUUCGGGUGGAGACAGGUUAACACACGCACCGACAUGAAGUGGUGUACGUGUAGCCUUUGGGCAUCCGAUGACAAGGUUGUUUGUCUCCGGCAACACAUGAUUACUACCGGAGCCUCGAGGAGCAUUUGCAUCCAUGGCCACAAGUGGCAGAACCCCGGGAGACACAGGCUACUGUAGCAUCUGUCUUCCGGCUAUUCAACUGAUAAGUGAUAAGAUUUCUCCAACUAUACGAGGAAAUCUGUAAAAAAAAUUUAUUCUAUUGAGGAAAAUUUU